CAGUCACACAUGCACAAGCGAGCAGGUUUUAUUUUAAGCUCUCCAACAUUUUAUUUCUCCAUUUAAUAAACAAACUAUUCAGUCAGAUAGGUAUUUGUCAUGAAAGAAAUACAGUUACAAUUUCAAGCAUUUUAUCCAAAAUGUAAGCACUUUUCAAACCUUGAAAACACAACAUCAAAAUUCAAGCAUUUUCAAGGAUUUCAAGCACCCGUACGAACCCUGCUGGUGACAGUCAACACC
Long non-coding RNA from Sander lucioperca (pikeperch), 240 nucleotides. RefSeq lists it as uncharacterized. The transcript has 3 exons. The record is from RefSeq and is a predicted model, not a curated record. Lineage: Eukaryota; Metazoa; Chordata; Actinopteri; Perciformes; Percidae.